CAAGCUGUUGUUCAGCCUCUCGGCACUGGGUGCCGGCAACACCGGGGAGACUCCAGAGAGGAAUGGAGAACCAGGCUUCCCCCGCCCCAUUCGGGGAAAAGGCCUGAGACUGAAACAGACACCAUGGAGCUUCCUGAGAAAAACAGAUGGAACUCCAGAGGAUCAAUGACCUAUGCACUGAGAGAGACAGCACCACAAUUAGACCCUGUUUUAUUGCACCCCAGAACAGCCCCCUGCUUGCCAAACUUGUUGGCUUGGCUCACUGGGGACCCAAGGUAGAAACAUCAGAGCAAAUGGCCCCUGAAUUGUCCUUUAAGUGUUGGUAGCUGGGUGACUAUCUGAAGCCAUUGUUUUUUCACGUGCAGACACCCUCUUCCUGGAUUAACCCCAUUUAUUCAUGCAGUAACACACCCCUUCACAAUGAUCAGACGAACAUAGGUAAGCCAGGAUACCCCACGGCUACUGAGGCACUGGGGAAAGGAUCUCAGGGGCAGAGCGCAUCUGCAUAGAUGCACCUACUCUGCCUAGGCAGUCAGCAGACAGACCUGCUUUGCCACAGUGAGGGGGGCCAAUGGGAAAUGGGAGCAGGGAAACCACAGGUGGGUGAAUAUCUGGUUUUUGACUGAGAGAAAUGCAGUUUAUUUGGUGCGUUUAGCGGAGGGGUGUUUGGUAUUCAAAUGGCACAAAGGCAAGCGUGAGGUAUGCAUACUAUAGGGCAUAUUGGGUUUUAAAUGCUCAGUACAAGCCCCUGGGCAUUCUGAAGGAAAAGCUACUGUGGUUACUUUGCAAACAUGAACCCUGCAUAGCCCCAUGAGCCCACAGAAACCCCCCUGAGCGUCCCAGGAAGCUUGGCCUUGGCCUGGAUAAUUGCAUUUGUGGGCCUCCGCCCUUGGGGCUGUGUCACAAGCCGGGGAACUCCAGGCUCCCGCCUGUCUCUCUACAGGCGUGUCGAAAAUUAAUGUUUGUUCAUGGUGUCACCAUUCUGAUAAACAGCUCUAAUUCCUGGAAACGCUGCCCCACCCAGCGGGGAAAAUGAAACUUAAAACUUACUUUCAUUUUUCUCUUUUUGUAUUCGUAGAUUAGAUCUCCCCCUCCACGGUUCACCGACCAGAGCUGCAUCAGGAAGAAAACAACUGGCUGUAAUCGAGCACCGCUGUCUGUAGCCAUGUUGCAAUUUGUUUUUUAAAAAAUGAGCUUUUAUUCCCUUGGCCACUUUAGCAAACUCAUGGGGUCCUUAGGCAAAGCUCCUCGGAAGCCAGGGCUCAGGGCACCGGUUUCUAAAGACUGAUGGGCAGCUGGGACAGCAGAGGAGGGAAAGACACCGGAGGCUCAAGCCUUGUCCACGCUGCACAGCUGUGUCCGCAAAAGGCAGCUUUUGCCGACAAAACGGUGGAGGUGGACACGUUGCAAAGCUCCUUUUGGAGGCAAAACUCUGCUGUUUUCUGACAAAAUAAAACUACCUCGAGGAGAGGCA
Chelonia mydas (Green sea turtle) is the source of this 1474-nucleotide long non-coding RNA. RefSeq lists it as uncharacterized. Lineage: Eukaryota; Metazoa; Chordata; Testudines; Cheloniidae. The record is from RefSeq and is a predicted model, not a curated record. The transcript has 2 exons.